GUUGUUGUUGUCUGGAGACAGAAAAUUGUUCUUUUUGGAGCGCUUCAGUCGAGCAGCUUUUAUGUAUCUUUUCAGCUUUUUCUUUUUGCAAAUAUCAGUGCUGAGGAUCUCUCUCGGGCAGCCUAAAUCAUCAGAAAUGUCUACAAACAUUUAAACGCAGCCAUCAGCGAGUGUGUUUUUCAGAGAGGCUGGGGACCGGCACAGGGAGACCCAGACCCGGGGCCUCCUAUGGCUACAUUGAUUAGCCAUUACUACGAAGGAUCUUGCCUAAGAAACAACACUGAAUUAAGGUCUUUCUCCCUUUUUUUCCUCUUCUUGACAAGAAGUCUUGUGAAAGUUGGCAUGUACACCUGGACCAGAGAACUCUUGUGUAUCCUUCCCUGGACUUUCAAAAGUUCCUCUGUCGUUCAGGAGGAGAUAAAAAUGGGAUCUGAAACAGAAUGAAAUAUUUUUUUUUUAAUAAAGAGCAGUUAAAUCUCAGAUAAAAACGGGGACACUGCUCUUAUAGCCACAGUUAGAAGCAAACCUUCAUCAUACUUCAGUGCCCCAGUGUAAAACCAUAAAUUAGCUUUGAGACAUAUGGGUAAACACCUACAGUAAACAAUAAAACACCAUGAUGGGUUCAUUCAUCUUCUUGGCUGCUUUGUCCCUUUUGGGGUCAUGGGGGUGCAGAAGCCUAACCUGGCUACUGAUUGGCAAAGGCAG
Molecule: long non-coding RNA, 705 nt
Filed under: Oryzias javanicus (javanese ricefish)
Lineage: Eukaryota; Metazoa; Chordata; Actinopteri; Beloniformes; Adrianichthyidae
Description: lncRNA (ENSOJAG00000013366.1)
Source: RNAcentral